Molecule: ribosomal RNA, 468 nt
Filed under: uncultured bacterium
Lineage: Bacteria
Description: partial 16S ribosomal RNA
Rfam family: Bacterial small subunit ribosomal RNA
Source: RNAcentral
GACGAACGCUGGCGGCGUGCUUAACACAUGCAAGUCGAACGGAAAGGCCCUGCUUUUGUGGGGUGCUCGAGUGGCGAACGGGUGAGUAACACGUGAGUAACCUGCCCUUGACUUUGGGAUAACCUCAGGAAACUGGGGCUAAUACCGGAUAGGAGCUCCUGCUGCAUGGUGGGGGUUGGAAAGUUUCGGCGGUUGGGGAUGAACUCGCGGCUUAUCAGCUUGUUGGUGGGGUAGUGGCUUACCAAGGCGUUGACGGGUAGCCGGCCUGAGAGGGUGACCGGCCACAUUGGGACUGAGAUACGGCCCAGACUCCUACGGGAGGCAGCAGUGGGGAAUAUUGCACAAUGGGCGGAAGCCUGAUGCAGCAACGCCGCGUGCGGGAUGACGGCCUUCGGGUUGUAAACCGCUUUCGCCUGGGACGAAGCGUGAGUGACGGUAAUUGGUAAAGAAGCACCGGCUAACUACGUG